UAGAUCCUCCUCCCUGUUACAUAUCCCCAUAUGCACUUUACUGCUGUCCUGCACUUAUGUACGCACCUUAAAUAACAGCACUUGAAAUAUAUCUUCAUCAUAUUCUGCACUCUACACAUCUUCGCCUGAUUGACUAACCAUCUCAGGACAACCAUCAUCUUUGGAAGCAGUGGUGAUGUCACUCCCUGUAUAGAGUGGCCAGAUCCCUGCUUGGGCUUAUCUCAGCCCAUUCAUCAUGUGUGACAGCUCAAGGCAUAGUCCAUUAGCCUGAAAGCUCUGAGACAUAGAAGCAAAUUACCUGCCUUUGAUCCUAGCUGGUUCACCAGAACCUGAGAAGUGUAAAAGGGACAGCCACAGCAGAGAGAGGAGAGGGCAUCAUUUUAGGCUGAAUGGAUUAUAGGCCGCACUUCAUGCCUGCAAAGGGUUUUAGCUGCCAGAACCAUACAGAACCCCCACAAGUGACCCCAUUUUGGAAACUACACCCCCUAAAGUAUUCAUCUAGACCAAAAGUGAGUACUUUGAUUCCUUUUUGUGUGGCUGGAAUGGAUACAAAGUCAGUGAAAAAAAUUUAAUUUUCUUUUUUUUCCACAAAUGCAUUAUUUGUGGGACAUAUUUUUUGUACAUUGCAUCUGAAAAGUAGAAAAUGCACCCCAUAUUUUAUUACGCUGUUCGUCCCAUGUUCGGUAAUACCCCCGCUUAGACCAUAUUUGGUUGCAUGGCCAGGAGCACCAUUUGGCUUUCAGGAUAUCAUUAUACAAAUUAUUCUGCACUUAGUGGAAAUUUUGUGCUUCCCUUAACAUAAAUACUAUAUUUUUAUAAGAUUUUAAUGUAUAUCAAUAACAUUAUGUAUAUUUUAUAUUCGUAACAAGUGUCUCCCUUCUCGUUCUUUUUGGAUAUAAUGGUCUUUUCUGGACCAUUGUCACUUGAAACCAGACUCACCAUACAAUGUUACGGACAGUCCAGAUCUGUGAAACAUGUCAAUGGCUGGAAGAACUGAUCAAUUAUAAUGGGCAUUUUACUGGUAAAACAUCCGUAUUACUAAAGCGUAUGCACUGACUGGAGUCUGGUAGCGCCCUGUACAGUAUAGGGCAUGUCUGGGCAUGGGCAUGCUGGGAGUUGUAGUUUUGCAACAUCUGAAGGGCAACAGUUUAGAGACCACUGUAUAGUGGUCUCAAACUGUAGCCCUCCAAAUGUUGCUAGACAACUCACCAGCUUCCGUAAGAUCCAGGAAGCCAGCCGCGCGACAUCGCCGCCCGCAGCCUCCGCUGAUGGGUAAGUGGACUUCGGCACCGGUCC
Molecule: long non-coding RNA, 1296 nt
Organism: Hyla sarda
Lineage: Eukaryota; Metazoa; Chordata; Amphibia; Anura; Hylidae
Exons: 4
Source: RefSeq, a predicted model, not a curated record